GGGAACUACGAGCUAAGCUUAAAACCCAAAGGACUUGACGGUACCCCACAUCCUACUAGAGGAGCCUGUUCUGUAAUCGAUAAUCCGCGUUUAACCUCACCAUCUUUAGUUAAUCAGCCUGUAUACCUCCGUCGUCAGCUUACCACGUGAGCGCAAAUUAGUGGGCCCAAUGUUAUUACACCAAUACGUCAGGUCAAGGUGCAGCAAAUAAGAUGGGAAGAGAUGGGCUACACUUUCUAUUUUAGAAAAAACGGAAAACUACCUAUGAAACCUAGUUGGAAGGCGGAUUUAGCAGUAAAAAGGAAUCAACACGUCCAUUUUAACUUGGCACUGGGGUGUGU
Molecule: ribosomal RNA, 341 nt
Filed under: Sclerophrys pusilla (lesser cross-marked toad)
Lineage: Eukaryota; Metazoa; Chordata; Amphibia; Anura; Bufonidae
Description: partial 12S ribosomal RNA
Rfam family: Bacterial small subunit ribosomal RNA
Source: RNAcentral